CCCUCCUCUGUCUUCGAUUGUUCGAAAAUCAGUACCACGUAUAAUACGAACCCGCGAACCCCAAUACCUAGCGGGGAGGGUAGGGGGAGGGGGAGGGGGAGUGGGUUGGGGGUGAAAAUGCCUUGAAAUCCAAACGCUCUUAACAGCUGAAUUCACCGAUCGAAAUGGGUAAGGUCGGUAUUUAUUCAACGUUGAAAUGCGCAUACUCUUAGAUAUACCAACCAUUGCAGCAAGUUUCCCUCGGGAACCUUACGGGGUGGCGGGGGGUUUCCGCAAGCGUUUCUGGAAACCGGCAACCUGGCUAACUCGUGACGUUUCAAAGCUAGACUCCGUAUAACCCUUACUCUAUAUCCGACUCUGUUCGCUGAGGCACUUCCGAAACGCUUCUGUAGAAUCCGACGCUGAGAGGAACUUUGGGUAACCCGGCGGCUGCUGCUAUCCACCGCGCCGCGCCGCGUUAUCCGACGACUAAGUUCCAACUGAUUUGCACUAUUUAUACAAAACCGGACUCAA
This 513-nucleotide unclassified non-coding RNA is filed under the name Athalia rosae (coleseed sawfly). RNAcentral describes it as "misc RNA ENSAEAG00005008676.1". The record is from RNAcentral. Lineage: Eukaryota; Metazoa; Arthropoda; Insecta; Hymenoptera; Athaliidae.